CAAAACCCAAACCAAAACAACUCCCUGACAGGAUUGUCAAAAAAUUAUUAUCCUAAAAAUAAGAUACAGAAAUUAAUUAUAGAAGAAUUAAUAUUAUGACAGUAUUUAGGGUUUCCUGCAUUACUGAUCUUUCUGUCUCAGUUCAGCUGUGCUUCCACUGCGCUUCAGAUACUCCAUUUGGAUUUUCACAGGACAUGAAGUGUGGUACCUUUCAUCUGGAUUACAUGGAAAAUAAAGACAUUGAAGGCAAAGAGCAAGAGACACAGAUGGACACUCACUCCUUUCUGUCUGUCCCCUGGCCUUUGCUGAUGGCUUUAAGAGAAUGUUUAAGAGCCCACUGGGAGCUGUGGUGCUGGGCCAGCAGAGGACAGAUUGCUGGAGCAGUGUCAGAAGGAUCAGAGUUAUAAGGCUGAAGCUUCGCUCACCUAUGGAAAGGGUUAGGACUCCAAAGCUGAAUGCAGAAACACCAAACUAUAAACAAAUUAAGCUUAGAAAGGAAUGGGGAGUAAGACACACAGUGGAAAUUUUAGGACAGACCACAAGCUGGAAGACAUACAAGCAAGGUAAAGCACUUGAAAAGCACAUGAAGAAAGAGGAAAAAAGUACUCCAGCAGAUUAUUUCCAGUCACUGCAGAACUGAAUUAUUUUUGAAGUGGUGAUUGACUGAUGGAAGUCUCUGUACUCUCCUGAGUGAUCCAG
This is a long non-coding RNA of Zonotrichia albicollis (white-throated sparrow), 699 nucleotides long. The record is from Ensembl. Lineage: Eukaryota; Metazoa; Chordata; Aves; Passeriformes; Passerellidae.